Molecule: ribosomal RNA, 253 nt
Filed under: uncultured bacterium
Lineage: Bacteria
Description: partial 16S ribosomal RNA
Rfam family: Bacterial small subunit ribosomal RNA
Source: RNAcentral
UACGAAGGGUGCAAACGUUGCUCGGAAUUAUUGGGCGUAAAGCGCACGUAGGCGGCUUUGCAAGUCCCAUGUGAAAUCCCACGGCUUAACCGUGGAAGUGCAUGGGAAACUGCAGAGCUUGAGUACUUAAGAGGAUCGCGGAAUUCCCGGUGUAGAGGUGAAAUUCGUAGAUAUCGAGAGGAACACCUGCGGCGAAGGCGGGUUGCUGGGCUGAUACUGACGCUGAGGCGCGAAAGCCAGGGGAGCGAACGGG